This 623-nucleotide ribosomal RNA is filed under the name uncultured archaeon. RNAcentral describes it as "bacterial SSU rRNA". It matches the Rfam family "Archaeal small subunit ribosomal RNA", at positions 146 to 774 of the family's 1478-position model. The record is from RNAcentral.
AUAAUACUCCAUAGAUUAGAGACACUGGAACGUUCUUUAGUCGAAAGUUCUGGCGCCUUAGGAUGGAUCUGCGGUCGAUUAGGUUGUUGUUGGGGUAACGGCCCAACAAGCCUGUAAUCGAUACGGGUUGUGGGAGCAAGAGCCCGGAGAUGGAAUCUGAGACACGAUUCCAGGCCCUACGGGGCGCAGCAGGCGCGAAAACUUUACAAUGCAGGAAACUGUGAUAAGGGAACUCCGAGUGCCCGUAUACGCGGGCUGUCCAGGUGUUUAAAAAUCAUCUGAAGAAAGGGCCGGGCAAGACCGGUGCCAGCCGCCGCGGUAAUACCGGCGGCUCGAGUGGUGGCCACUAUUAUUGGGCUUAAAGCGUCCGUAGCUGGACCGAUAAGUCUCUUGGGAAAUCCGCCGGCUCAACCGGCGGGCGUCUAAGGGAUACUGUUAGUCUAGGGACCGGGAGAGGUGAGAGGUACUCCGGGGGUAGGAGUGAAAUCCUGUAAUCCCCGGGGGACCACCGAUGGCGAAGGCAUCUCACCAGAACGGCUCCGACAGUGAGGGACGAAAGCUGGGGGAGCGAACCGGAUUAGAUACCCGGGUAGUCCCAGCCGUAAACUAUGCGCGUUAGGUGU